Molecule: long non-coding RNA, 1016 nt
Organism: Bos taurus (domestic cattle)
Lineage: Eukaryota; Metazoa; Chordata; Mammalia; Artiodactyla; Bovidae
Source: Ensembl
CCCCAGAACGGAACCACUCACCUCAGCUGACAGCGCUGUUAGAAUUGCGUUUCAUGGAGACCGGGAAGACGGGAAACGAGCGUGUGUAUACAAUCUUGGAAGAUGUGGAAAGGCUGGGCUGACGGGCAGACAAAACGAAGGCUUCUAAGGCAUCUUGCCAAUGACCCUCCAGAAAUCUGGAUCUCUCCAACCUCUUCCCAUGUCACCUGGCAACAGGAAGUCUAAAACAUGUGCUGCCCACAGCAAAGAACCUGAACUUGGGUUUGGACAUGGUGUGAGAGCACUCUCCCUCACCUCCCACCUCUGCCGCAGUCUCCAGCACGUAAAUGAGAAACUGCAGUUGCAGAGGCAGGGAGAUUGGACAAACUGACGCAUCUUGAACAUCAGCUUCCUUCUGAAUCUGCAAGUCCUCAAGAAGAUGCAUCUGUUGCCGCACGUCAAAGGGAGGAGGGGGCAUUCAUGGGCCCUGGUGUGUUUGCUAGGCACCCAUAGGCGCCCAGAGAGGCCGUGCAUAGCAGCGGUUCAGCCAAGCUGGAGAAUCUGUAGCCCCUACAUGGGCCCCAGGGGUCUGGAAUUACGUGGGGGAGUUCCUUCAACCAGCCUGCGCACGGAAUCCUCCCCAUCUCCCCACCCCCUCCAGACCCGUUCUCCUGAAACCUAACCACGUUAGUCCCAGUCAGAUGUAUUUGUGCGUGCUAAGUCGCUUCAGUCAUGUCUGAGUUUUUACAACCUUGUGGACUAUAGCCCACCAGGCUCCUCUGUCCAUAGUAUUCUCCAGGCAAGAAUACUGGGUUGCCAUUUCCCUCUCCAGGGGAUCUUCCCAACCCAGGGAUCAAACCCAUGUCUCUUAAGUCUCCUGCAUUGGCAGGUGGGUUCUUUACCACUAGUACCACCCGGGAAGCCCAUUCGGUCACACCAAAUAAGAAAGUCCCCUUGACAGUCCCACUCCCGCAACACGCACACACACACACACAAUCUCACCAUCACACACGGCACAGAAGUGUCAGCCCUACAAG